RNA transcript from Grus americana (Whooping crane), 5766 nucleotides. It is a transcript of the gene named sphingosine-1-phosphate transporter SPNS2-like, with no coding region annotated. Lineage: Eukaryota; Metazoa; Chordata; Aves; Gruiformes; Gruidae. The transcript is spliced from 14 exons. The record is from RefSeq and is a predicted model, not a curated record.
GGCAGCUGUCAGAGGCGGCGGCGGCGGCCGGUCCCGCAGGCAGGCGGCUGGGGCGGCCGCGGGAUGCGGCGCUGAGGGCGCACCGCACCGGCGGUCAUUCCGCGCGGGCUCCUGCGCGCCGCGGUUGCCUCCCGCAGCCCAUGAUGUGCCUGGAAAGCGACGGCUCCUCCGGCAGCAGCCCGGGCUGCGGCGGGCGGCUCCGAGCCGGCGACGAGGAGGAGGAGGAGGACGGCGAGAGGGGCUGCUGCGGCCGGGGCGCUGAGGGCGAGGUGCAGACCCUGUCGGGCAGGAUGAACCCGCCGGCGGCCGGCAAGCACCCCGAGCGCCCGGCCGUCCGCCACAAGGCGCCGAGCCUCGGCCGGGCCCGGGUGGCGGCCGCGGGCAUCCUCAGCGUGGGCAACGUGCUCAACUACCUGGACCGGUACACGGUGGCAGGUGUGUUACUAGACAUCCAGCAGCACUUUGGAGUCAAAGACAGUGGGGCUGGCUUAUUACAGACAGUUUUCAUCUGCAGUUUCAUGGUUGCGGCGCCUAUCUUUGGUUACCUUGGUGACCGUUUCAACAGAAAGAUCAUUCUCAGCUGUGGGAUCUUCUUUUGGUCAGCUGUCACUUUUUCAAGCUCCUUCAUCACGGAACAGUAUUUCUGGCUGCUUGUGCUCUCGCGAGGUUUGGUUGGCAUCGGUGAAGCAAGUUACUCCACUAUUGCACCAACCAUCAUAGGAGACCUUUUCACCAAAAACACAAGGACCCUUAUGCUGUCUGUUUUCUACUUCGCAAUUCCUCUUGGCAGUGGCUUGGGAUACAUCACGGGGUCAAGUGUGAAGCAGGUUGCUGGAGACUGGCACUGGGCGCUGCGGGUAUCUCCACUCCUGGGAAUGAUAACAGGGACGCUCAUCUUAAUAUUUGUACCUGCUGCUAAAAGAGGAAAUGUAGAACAACUUGGGGGACAGCUGAAGGCUCGGACCUCGUGGCUAAGAGACAUGAAAGCACUGAUUAGAAACCGCAGCUACGUGUUCUCUUCGUUGGCCACCUCAGCUGUCUCCUUUGCCACAGGGGCUCUUGGCAUGUGGAUCCCUCUCUACCUUCACAGAGCACAGGUUGUACAGAAGACAGCAGAGACCUGCAGCUCACAGCCCUGCAGCACCAAAGAUAGCUUGAUCUUCGGAGCAAUCACAUGCUUCACUGGUUUCCUGGGUGUAAUCACAGGGGCUGGGGCAACCAAAUGGUGCCGGUUAAAAACCCAGCGAGCUGAUCCUCUUGUCUGUGCUGUUGGCAUGCUAGGAUCAGCUAUCUUCAUCUGUCUGAUCUUCGUUGCUGCCAAGAGCAGCAUUGUGGGAGCCUAUAUUUGCAUUUUUAUCGGAGAAACUCUUCUGUUUUCAAACUGGGCUAUCACAGCAGACAUACUAAUGUAUGUGGUCAUUCCAACACGCCGUGCAACCGCAGUGGCCUUGCAGAGUUUCACUUCACACCUCCUGGGAGAUGCUGGCAGUCCUUAUCUGAUUGGAUUUAUCUCAGACCUGAUACGACAAAGCACAAAGGAGUCCCCAGUCUGGGAGUUCCUCAGCUUGGGGUAUGCACUCAUGCUCUGCCCGUUUGUCAUUGUCCUAGGAGGGAUGUUUUUCCUGGCCACAGCACUCUUCUUCCUAAGCGACCGAGCCAAAGCUGAACAACAUAAAGAAACCGAUUCGGACCACCUCACGGUUGGCAACUACAGUAAUUCAGAAGACGCUUCCACAUGACAUACAAACUUCUGGGGGUGAAUCAACUUGUGAUGCCACCAGCCUCUGUGAAAGUUUGAGACGUUGCCAGUGAAGGAAAUGACAUGCGGACUCCUGCUCCCCCCACCACCACACCAAUCUCAAGCUCGAAGCCCUUCCAUACUGGAAACCAGUGGAUCCUUCAGCUCCACACCACCCUGGAAGGGUUAUCCCGCACCAAAUCGAUCCCACCGCUCCAGCCUGCAGGGUCAGGCACCAGGAGAUGAGCAGGGCAGCCUGGAACACAAGUAAUUCUUAAGCAUAAGGACAUUCACAGGUUCCUCUGAGCAUCGAAAGCAACUGUCCGCUGGACCCACAAUGUGCUACCCAAGUGAGUGACUGUAGAUUGUGUAUAUGGUUUUAGUUGUAGCCAAUGAAGUCUGCAUUGUUUAUAGGGCAACUUACGUCCUAUUGAAUGCUGCUGUUCUGUCAGCACUCCCACACCCAGAGACUGCACUAGUUGGGGACAUAUUCUGUACAUCACCUUUUCUUUAACACUGAAGGCUCAAUUCAGAUUAUUAUUUUUUAUUUAACUAUGUCAUAAGAUGCUUUAUUUCUGCUGAAGACAUUAGAUGACAGAUAUAUAUACAUAUAUAUAUAUAUUUAGAUAAACAGUUUUUAUUUAAACAUUUAAAAUCUGGAGCUGCCUGUGCAACCAUACCAGACAUGAAUAACGUCCACAACUUUCCUCAUCUCAGUGCCCGGGUAUCAGGCCCUGCACGGGCCCCGUAGGAAGAUUUCCAGUGGGUGACUACCUGUCACCCAAGGCUGGGCAAUGGGUUGGAGGAGAGAGUUUCACUGCACUGGGUAUGCUGGUGGUUGUUACAGAAAGGCCCAGAAGAACUUUGGACAGAAACACCUAGGGGCUCUAGAGUUUGGUCAAUAUACUAAAUUCAACCUUGCUUAGGAGGUUCACAGGUUUUUAAAGUACCAAAAUCCAUCUGGCUGAAUAGCUUUACCUAGGGCCUGGUAGUGCAAUACUGCUGUGCCAGUGACAUCAUGCUUUGUUUACAUGCAUGUCAUAUUACACGUAUUGUCAAUGCUAAUUCUCCCCGUCGGUAUUUUCAAAGCAGGUGGCUGAUACUCUGCUGUAGCUGUUUCUUUGGAACAAUGCUUAGGUUUAAUGCUUGCCCGACCCCGCACACAGUCCCAGACUAUUCUUCCUGGGGUGUCAGUUGGUCACUUUUAUCUUUAUGAAGAUGCAUUUGAGGUCUUUAAUACACAAGGCCAGUGUCUGAACUGUGUUAGUCUCAAACGCAGAAGCGUGUGUCUGUAAAGCAGUCGGAGUGCCAUUUCGUGAGAGGCUUGUGUUUCCUGCACCUGGCCUCCACAAGCCAAAUUCAUGCUAGGUCAGCUUGAUGCUGCAACGGUGUGGGGAAGGCAGGCGAGCAGAGUCAGGCUUCCAGAGAAAGGGCAUUGGUUCAGUGAACUCCCCGCUCCCUUUUUUCCUGUUUGGAUGUCUCCCACAGGUUAGAUACUCCCCUCCAGUUUAGCACACACCUCAAGCAGGUGAAUGCACCUCACUCUUGUGCUCACAUUUAACAAGUGGCUGUGGUUGGGCUGCAGGUAGGACUAAAUCAGCAAAGGAAAUGCCAAACCGGGACUGGAUACGAGUUAAGUCUGGCAGCUGGCUGUCCUGAUUGUGGCACAGGUUUGUUCAGAGACACAGGAAAGUACUGUUAGUAAAUCUGGGGUUUAUCUCCCCUUCACUGCCAAGAUGUGCUAGGACCUACAGUACCACACUGUAGUAGAGAUGGUCAGUAAUUCCAGUUACCAGCGAACUGGUUGAUACCCACCACAUAGCCGGUCUCUGCUCAGGCAGGUGGGGUCGGAGGGUGACUCCUUUAACACCAUGAGCCUUUCCUCCCCCUCAGGCUCCACAGGACUCUUCUGCAAAGGUUGCUCUGUCACCUAAAAUACCUUAACAAUAGCUUUAAGAUUUGGCUAAACAACUAGAGCCAGAAAUUUUCCUUGAGUGCCUGGGCAUCCUCUCGAGAACAGCAAGCAGGUGCUAGAAAUAAUAAAGCAAAGCAAAUCCAAAACAAUGCUUCAUUUCCCACCUCGUGCCACUAUCUACAUUCGUAGGGGAAAUACUGCCUCUGUAGUCUAGGAGCCAAACACUUGGCUUUAAAGACACAUGAAUUUCUGAUUCCCGUUAAGAAAUUCCUUGUUAAGCUGUUUAAAAUGGAACCCAACAAUCAGUCAUUUCAUCUCAGAGACCAAAGAAGAUUAGCCACAUUUCCUAAAUUGCUUUUCUGAUAGGCUCUCUCUGUUGUAGCAUUUACUGUCAACAAAAUGAAGUAUUCCUGCUAAAGUUCAGAGAUUAGGAAUUGUCCUUAAACUUAAUUCUCAGGAGUCACAAUGAAAAGGGAAGUUGAGUGUUUUGUAAUUUCAGUAGCCCUCCUUGUUGGUGACAAGCCCCGGCCCUUGUUAGAGAAGCACAGUGCUGUUACAGGCCAGCUUUAUCUUCUGUGCAUAUGAAGGAAAUUGCUGUGGCUUUCUUUUUAACAAAGGAAGAGGGAAGGGAGCAAGCAAGGGAGUGAGAAGCAAGUCCUACCUGCAGCAGUUCCACACCACGGGAUCCCUGAAUCCCAGCUCCCACAUGUUCCAGGCUAAGGGGGGGAAGCCGAAGCAGCAGCUCUAACAGCUCAGAGGAGGUGAACAGAAGGGAAAGGAAACUCAGCCCUUCUAGACGUCUAGACUGAAUGCGUAUUACUUCUAUCCAAGCUGAGCAACAACCCUCAUUAAAAUGAGUAUUUCUGUUUUUAUAAAGAAAGGCUGUUCAUAGGAAAAGAUAAUUAAUUUUUUAUAAUGAAUCCAUGUAUUUUAGUAUCCAUCACACUGAAUGAAGCAAGAUUCCAGCCCAUCACUUAAGUAGUUGUUCAGGUGAUCAAGGUUAGCUUUGGGGUUCUAAGCUUCAACACAAAAUUAAAUAGUCCCAAUAAGGACAGAAAUACCUUUAAAGCCAUUGAUCACGUGCACAGAAAAUCACUUCGUGUGAAUGUCUGAAAACUAGAGUACACAACCAGGAGCUCUUGAAGGCAUUUGAAAAGCCUUGGGAAAACGCUACCAAAAGGCAGCGAGCACUACUCACACCCUCUCAUCCCAGCACGUACACAUCUCCUCAGGACAGGGAGCCAUGUGAGGGGAAAGGUGUUGGGGUUCUCAGCGGGUGCUGCUGUGUCUUGCCCCCACUCCCUGGUACCUGCUGCUCACCCUGUUCCUCAGGGCUGCGACCGGUCCUUCCCUGUGCUCUGCCCCUGUUCCCCACCUCUGCCCGAGGGUCUGCCCUCUCCGAUGGUUUGCCUCAAGGCGCCGGCUCCUUCCGAUCUCCCGGUGUUCUGUGUGGGACCUACACCAUUAGAUGCAGCCUCGCUGCAUUCAUCAGGGUCUGUGCAGGGUGUCCAGAUUGUCCCUCAGGGCUUUCUUCUGCUCCUCUUCAUAAAUGGUUGGCUUUUUUUAAGCAGCCAUUAACCCCCUCCACAGCUAACACUGCAUUUGCACCGACACACGCACUACAGGAGCAAUUAGGUGGCUUGUACACAGCAAGAGAAGCAGAGGUAAUGGGAACUGCAGAGAGAGGCAAGAAAAUGACCCAAAAAAAAGCAGCACGCUGCCACCCAAAUAACUACAAUGCCUCCUGCUGCCAUCGCUCCGAGAGCUAGAAUCUGGGUGAACCCAAGGGCCUCUCCCCUUUUACAGACUAGCUGAGAGAGACCCUCAGGGUGACUAAACCCUGUGAAUGAAUGGCUGUACUCUGGAAAGCAGAGUUCCCCUCUGCACCCUCCGUCCUAAUUGUUUGUUUUCUUCUCCAUUUGCUUUAUUGUUUGGUAAACCAGCACUUACAAUCACUUUUACUAUGUGAUGUACGGGAGUAUAUAGUAUAUUUUCUUGUUAUACAAGGGAGGCGUAUAAAAUAGUUUUCUGAUUUCUUUCAGAAGCAAAUGACUAUUUUAUUUUUUAAGAGCAAUUGAUUGUGAAUCUCAGAGUAUAAAAAAAAAAGAUAAAU